RNAcentral lists this unclassified non-coding RNA (331 nucleotides) under soil metagenome. Its description in RNAcentral is "partial contains 5.8S ribosomal RNA, internal transcribed spacer 2, and large subunit ribosomal RNA". The stretch from base 1 to 120 matches the Rfam family "5.8S ribosomal RNA", at positions 35 to 154 of the family's 154-position model. The record is from RNAcentral.
GAUGAAGAACGUAGCGAAAUGCGAUAAGUAAUGUGAAUUGCAGAAUUCAGUGAAUCAUCGAAUCUUUGAACGCACAUUGCGCCCCCUGGUAUUCCGGGGGGCAUGCCUGUUCGAGCGUCAUUUCACCACUCAAGCCUCGCUUGGUAUUGGGCAACGCGUUCCGCCGCGUGCCUCAAAUCGACCGGCUGGGUCUUCUGUCCCCUAAGCGUUGUGGAAACUAUUCGCUAAAGGGUGUUCGGGAGGCUACGCCGUAAAACAACCCCAUUUCUAAGGUUGACCUCGGAUCAGGUAGGGAUACCCGCUGAACUUAAGCAUAUCAAUAAGCGGAGGA